This 482-nucleotide ribosomal RNA is filed under the name uncultured Bacillota bacterium. Its description in RNAcentral is "bacterial SSU rRNA". It matches the Rfam family "Bacterial small subunit ribosomal RNA", at positions 355 to 829 of the family's 1533-position model. The record is from RNAcentral. Lineage: Bacteria; Bacillati; Bacillota.
UAGGGAAUUUUCCACAAUGGACGAAAGUCUGAUGGAGCAACGCCGCGUGAACGAUGAAGGCUCUCGGGUCGUAAAGUUCUGUUGUCAGGGACGAACAAGUGCCGUUCGAAUAGGUCGGCACCUUGACGGUACCUGAUUAGAAAGCCACGGCUAACUACGUGCCAGCAGCCGCGGUAAUACGUAGGUGGCAAGCGUUGUCCGGAUUUAUUGGGCGUAAAGCGCGCGCAGGUGGUUAUGUAAGUCUGAUGUUAAAGCCCGGGGCUCAACCUCGGUCCGCAUUGGAAACUGUGUAACUUGAGUGCAGAAGAGGAAAGUGGUAUUCCACGUGUAGCGGUGAAAUGCGUAGAGAUGUGGAGGAACACCAGUGGCGAAGGCGACUUUCUGGUCUGUAACUGACACUGAGGCGCGAAAGCGUGGGGAGCAAACAGGAUUAGAUACCCUGGUAGUCCACGCCGUAAACGAUGAGUGCUAGGUGUUGGGGG